GGUAAACGCUGGCGGCGUGCAUAAAACAUGCAAGUCGAACGAGUGCCCGCAAGGGUGCUAGUGGCGAACGGCUGAGUAACACGUAAGUGACCUACCCCUUAGUGGGGAAUAACUGCUCGAAAGAGUGGCUAAUACCGCAUAUGCUCGCGGUUUCGGUAUUGCGAGUAAAGCAGCGAUGCGCUAAGGGAUGGGCUUGCGGCCGAUUAGCUAGUUGGUGGGGUAAAGGCCCACCAAGGCGAUGAUCGGUAGCUGGUCUGAGAGGAUGAUCAGCCAGACUGGGACUGCGACACGGCCCAGACUCCUACGGGAGGCAGCAGUUAGGAAUUUUGCGCAAUGGACGAAAGUCUGACGCAGCAACGCCGCGUGAGGGAAGAAGGCUCUCGGGUCGUAAACCUCUUUUCCAGGGGAAGAUAGUGACGGUACCCUGGGAAUAAGCCCCGGCUAACUACGUGCCAGCAGCCGCGGUAAUACGUAGGGGGCGAGCGUUGUCCGGAUUUAUUGGGCGUAAAGAGCGCGUAGGCGGCUUGCCAAGUCGUGCGUGAAAUGCUUCGGCUCAACCGGAGUACGUCGUGCGAUACUGGUAGGCUUGAGGCCGGUAGGGGGAAGUGGAAUUCCCGGUGUAGUGGUGGAAUGCGUAGAUAUCGGGAGGAACACCAGUGGCGAAGGCGGCUUCCUGGACCGGUCCUGACGCUGAGGCGCGAAAGCGUGGGGAGCGAACUGAAUUAGAUACUCAGGUAGUCCACGCUGUAAACAAUGGGUGCUAGGUGUCGGGGGUAUCGACCCCUCCGGUGCCGGAGCUAACGCAUUAAGCACCCCGCCUGGGGAGUACGGCCGCAAGGCUAA
Molecule: ribosomal RNA, 843 nt
Filed under: uncultured Chloroflexota bacterium
Lineage: Bacteria; Bacillati; Chloroflexota
Description: bacterial SSU rRNA
Rfam family: Bacterial small subunit ribosomal RNA
Source: RNAcentral